GCCCAAACAUCUAUUGCUGGGGUAUAAUCGUGAGCUCCCAAAAGUAGCUCUGGCGCACGAUACCAAAUAGUAACUACUACACGAUCGCUGGAAUAAAAUGGUAAUAUGGGAUCCCGAAUGAGCCUUCCCAGCCCUAGGUCCCCAAUUUUUACCUUGCCUGUAGCUGUAAUCAUUAUGUUUGCUGGUUUCAAAUCUCGAUGCAUAAUCCAGUUUUCAUGUAGGUAUGCUACACCAUUAAUGAUCUGCCAUAGAAUACUUUUUAAAAUUGAUGGUGGAAUUUGUCUUGUUCUAGAUCGGCUAUGGAAAUGAAUAAUUUGCAACAGAUCGUGUUCGGCGUAUUCAAAAACCAUGCUAAUUGUGCCAUCUUUGAGUAAAACUUGAACCAAGCUAACUAUAUUUUCAUGCUGAAUUUCUCUACACAGCAUCAUUUCACGAAUAGCACUUUGAGAAACGCCGGUUUGUUGAGCAUUCGAGCUUACUUGCUUUGACUCAGCUUUGAACUUUUUAAUUGCAAACAGUCGUUUAUCAUUCGAAUUAGAUGAAACCGCUUUAUAAACCUUUCCAUAAGUUCCAGAUGAGAUAAACCCAAUAAUUUUAUAACCGUCUUUCAUGCUGAAAUGACCCUACCCUAUCAAACCUUUAAAGAGAUGGAUAUAUACACAUUCAAUCACAUAGGGAUGCUUUUUACAGUCUUUAUAUAAAAAGUAUCCGACUUUUUAGUAUCACUUAAAAAGUCAGAUGAAUGUAGGUCUCUCUAUAGUGGGAAGUGACGAAGGCGACAGAAACAUUAGUAUUAGGCGAAUAAAGAGUCAAAGUACCACGAAUCUUUUUAUGCCUACCCACUAUUAACGAAAACACCAAGUCUGAUAAACUGAAGGUUUUAAACAUCAGAUGGUAAUUUUCAUAAAGCUGUUUGUUCUUAUUUAAAAGUUAACUGAAUUUGUGAAUUGAUUGGCAAGUAUAGAAAAUCCGUGCACUACUGAGCUUUUGUAUCUCACCACUGACAUUCUUCUCGAAAGCAAUGAUUCGCAUUCUGUCAUGCGAUAUGCAGCAUAAUGUCUGUAUGCCUAUUCAAUUUUAACAAUAGCACUUUAGAAGUAUGCCAUUUCUUUUGAUGAUUUAAGUAAUGUUCUAAUUCUUCAAGUGUAUACAAAGUAGUGAUAUAAUGUCUUAAUUUAUAUGAUGUGUAGUUAAAAACUGUCUGUAGGAAAUUUUAUUUGACAAGCAAUAAAAUAAAUUGAUA
Molecule: non-coding RNA, 1243 nt
Organism: Schizosaccharomyces pombe (fission yeast)
Lineage: Eukaryota; Fungi; Ascomycota; Schizosaccharomycetes; Schizosaccharomycetales; Schizosaccharomycetaceae
Source: the annotation of a GenBank genome assembly